Long non-coding RNA from Erpetoichthys calabaricus (reedfish), 5039 nucleotides. RefSeq lists it as uncharacterized. The transcript is spliced from 4 exons. NCBI's taxonomy places the organism in Eukaryota, Metazoa, Chordata, Cladistia, Polypteriformes, Polypteridae. The record is from RefSeq and is a predicted model, not a curated record.
UACAGACUAUAAGUGGGCACACAGGACAGAACAGAAGAUUUUGUGAAUCCUGGAGUUUAGGAAAAAAGGAUAUCAUCCUGUCAGCAGAGAGAGUGGAAUAAUAAGAGAGUCCUCAGAAGUGAUUACAGCAGGGCUACAGAAGUAGCUAACUAAAAAAAUGACAGGGAGAUGGGAAGACACAAGUGGAAGAUGACAAGUGCUCAUGUGCCCUGUUUGGUGAUGAUCAAUAUAUGGCCAGGGGCCACUGUCAGCCAUUUAGAGAUUUCCCAAACUGACACUGUCAUGCAAGCAACAUGACAAAGAUACGGGAAGGAAAUGGAUGGCGUGUACAUGGUGUUGCAGCAGGCAUCCUGCGCUCCUUUAAGAGUUGAAGGUGUGUCCGGAGUUAUUAUGAAUGAAGGAGUCCUGGCGGGAAAGUCAAGAGUUUGGGAGGAUAUCGAGAAACAAGGAGUGGACAAAUGAGUGGCAAAGCAGAAGAACUAUGAGAAACCGGAGGGUACCAGUCCCACCCAGGAGGAAGAGCAGGACCCUGGAAAGCCCAGUGAGAACAGAAAAGCCACACCUACCUCUUCUCGUCAAGACCCAAGCACCACAAGUAAAAGGAGCCCUGGAAGAUAAGAUGGGUACGAAGCGGAAGCAGAAGCAAACAAUGACCAACAGGGAGAUGAACCGUGUUGUCGAAGAACUCCAGGCUCUCGACAUCCAGAUCCAGAAACUCCUGUCCAGACGGAAGCACCUGAGGGAUCUGCUGGAAAAAUCCUCCCCGACAUCAGAAAAUGUCAGAGCAAAUCGCGGUUUGGUAACAUCGAUCUAUCUAUCUAUCUAUCGACUUCAUGCUGUGCCGCUCACUUUCAAGGCCAAGUGAGCUUCACCCCUGCGCCUCGUCGUCGGAGCAAUGAUGCCAACGAUGAAGAAUCUGGCCUGUUUCAGCUAUGCAGGUGGAGGUUUAAGGCUAGAACACCUUCAUCGGCACAGGCAAGCAUCUCCACCCAGAACCAGUUCGACCCUCUCCACGCCCCUAGUUUGCCUUUAGAUGUAUUUGUGAUUGGUGAUUCAAUCAUAAGAAACCUAAACAUCGCCUGCCCUAAUCAGAAAUCUUUUGUCUCUUGUUUUCCCGGUGCUCGUGUCUGAGAGGUUAUGAGAUGUGCGCCAACAGUCUUCGAGAGGAACAAGAACAGGGCAGUGGGAUCUAUUGUGAUACAUGCCGGGGUUAACGACGUGAGACACCGACAGUUGGAGAUUCUCAAGGCGGACUUUGCAGCACUAAUUAACGCCAUGAAGGAGAGGACCCCGGCUGCAAGAAUUUUCAUCUUGGGUCCACUACCUCUCGUUAGAAGAUCAAACGAGUAUUACAGUCAUCUGCUGGCAUUAAACAUCUGGCUGAAAGGCUUCUGCGAGAGUCAAAACAUCGGGUUCAUAGACAACUGGGACCUCUUCUGGGAGAGGCCGCGUUUCUUUAAGCGGGAUGGUCUGCACCCAAAUAGAUUCGGCGCCUGGGUCCUCUCCGAAAACAUUGCUAAGGUAAGUUGUCUCUCUUGACACUCUAUUUUUACUUCUAAUCCCUUCCGUUAUGCUUGUGAUAUUUUGGGUAAGAAAAUCUUCCUCAAAAGUGAACUGCUUUAACACUCUAAUAACUAACUUCAGUGCACGUAAAAAAUGUAGGCAGUGCAGCAUAAAUACGAAUAAUUUAAUUAUAAUUACACCUCUAGAUGAACAAUGCAUUAAAACUAUAAAAAUUGAUUAUAGAUUAAGUAAAAAAUAUGCCCAGAGCGGCGCUAAUAAAAAUAACUUAAUUUCUAUCUCAAAUACCCAUAACGCACAUACAAUUCAGUUCUGCUCUUCUGAAACAUUAAAUAUGGCUCUAUUAAAUGUUAGAGCAUUAACACUAGAAUUACCAGAGCCUAUGAAAAAACUCGUGGAUCCAGCCCACCUUAAAUCCGUUCGCACCUCUCUGUCAGCGUCUUUUGUCCUGUACACUCAGACACUCUUUGGGUCUUCCACGGUAUAACAGUACUAGAAGACUUUUUAACUAUCUUUUCAGGUGCGACUAGGUCAGCAGCAGCUCUCACCUUAAUAUUAAAAUUUUCCACCUUACUAUUUACAUUAUUCUCACUAUUGUAGUUAGCACUACAAAUGGACUGGUUGCUUAAAAUGUUUGUAAAUUUUGAAGCUGCUGAUGAAUCAAAGAAGCGUUUUUUAACAAUAUGCUUUUCAUGAAUAUUUUCUAUCAUUAUUUCUAUAUUAAAUAGUAACAGAAAAUGGUCUGAUAGACCAGUAUCAAUUAUCUGCUUCACAUCAACUUUUAGUACUUUGGUAAUUAGUAAGUCUAACGUAUGACCUGCUUUAUGUGUUGGCUGACUAAUGUGCUGGCUCAAAUCAAGAGAGUCCAGGAGGUUUAUGAAUUCUUUUACUUUCGGGUCACACUGAUUAUCAAUAUGAAAGUUAAAGUCACUGACUAUUAGGAGUGUAUCAUAGAUUGUAAUUACAAUUGACACCAAGUCUGAGAAUUCCUCAAAGAAAGACGCAUUGUAUUUAGAAGGUCUAUACACGGAUAAUACUAGAAACUGAGAAACUCCAUGAAUAACAAUGGCAAGAUACUCAAAGGACUUGAAUUUGCCAAUGCCGACAUCUUUACACUUUAACCGGCUCGAGUAAAUGUUUGCUAAGCUGCCGCCUUUCUUACCUUGGCGAUCCGCAUGAGCAAAGCUAUAAUUUGGAAGCGCAGAUUCGAUUAAAACAGCUGCACCAUCUGAGCUAAGCCACGUUUCACUUAGUGCAAUACAAUCAAUUUUCCUAUCACUAAUAAGAUUGUUGAUGGCUAACAUCUUGUUGGUUAACACUAGAAUUACCAGAGCCUACGAAAAAACUCGUAGAUCCGGCCCACCUUAAAUCCGUUCGCACCUCUCUGUCAGCGUCUUUUGUCCUGUAAAUGUGCCGAUUAAGACAAGCAGCAAGCAGCCUGCUAUUCCAUCCCCCACCGCCACAGACCGUGCACAAACUUCUUCCAGCUCAUUCCUUGAUUGAUUAUCUGGGAGUGAAGUGCUGAAGUUUUACAGUGGAAAUAAUCGAUCAUUAUUUAGAACACAUGCAUUUCACGUGUGUUCCGUUUCUAUAACAAUCUGUGUUAACACAUUAAAUUCAUCUUGGGUCCACUACCUCUCGUUAGAAGAUCAAACGAGUAUUAAAUUCUUUCACCAGGAUAGAUUUACCUGAUUUACAUAAAAUAAUUUCUCAACUGAGACCCUCCACCUGCAUCCUCGACACAAUACCAAUAAGUUUUUUCAAAGAAGUAUUGGGUGUGCUAAUUGAUAAUAUUCUUCCCAGACUGUCUUAAGACUGCCUCAAGUAAAAUAAUCUUGUCUCCUCUGCUUUUGAAAAUUUUAGACCCAUCUCUAACCUGCCUUUCUUAAGUAAAAUUCUAGGGAAGGCAGUCAUUAUGCAGCUUAAUGACCACCUCAAUAAACAUGUUAUUCUUGAUAAAUUUCAGUCAGGUUUUAGAACAAAUCACAGUACAGAAACUGUACUCGUUAAAGUAGUAAAUGACUUGCGGAUAAAUGCAGGCAGAGGCUGUUUAUCUAUUCUCGUCCUCUUAGAUCUGAGUGCCGCAUUUGACACCAUUGAUCACAAUAUUCUUAGAAAUCGCCUUAGUCAAUGGGUGGGCCUCUUUGGCAGUGUCUUAAAUUAGUUUGAAUCCUAACUGGCAGGUAAAAAAUUCUUUGUUAGUUGUGGUAAUUAAACUUCAAAAACACAUGAUAUUCUAUAUGGUGUUCCACAAGGCUCUAUCCUGGGUCUGCUGCUCUUUUCGAUUUACAUGCUUCCAUUAGGUCAGAUUAUCUCGGGGCAUAACGUGAGCUACCACAGCUAUGCUGAUGACACACAACUGUAUUUAUCAAUAGCGCCUGACGACCCUGACUCUCUUGAUUCACUGACACAAUGUCUUACUUGUGUUUCUGAAUGGAUGAGUAGUAAUUUUCUCAAACUAAAUAAAAAGAAAACAAAAACUUUACUGAUUGGCAAUAAUGGAUAUAAUGAGGUUAUUAAAAAUAAACUUGAUGCAUUAGGAUUAAAAGUCAAAAUGGAGGUAAGGAAUUUAGGGGUAAAUAUUGAUUUUGACCUGAAUUUUAAAUCACAUAUUAAUCAGAUUACUAGGACAGCAUUUUUCCACUUAAGAAAUAUAGCAAAAGUUAGACCCCUUAUAACAUUGCAAGAUGCUGAGAAAUUAAUCCACGCUUUUGUUUUCAGUCAACUAGAUUACUGCAACGCUCCCCUCUCAUGGACUACCCAAAAAAGACAUCAAUCAAUUGUAACUAGUGCAUAAUGCAGCUGCUAGAAUCUUAACUAGGAAAAGAAAAUCCGAGCACAUCACUCCAGUUUUGAUGUCACUUCAUUGGUUACCUGUGUCAUUUAGAAUUGACUUUAAAAUACUGCUUAUAGUUUACAAAGCUUUAAAUAAUCUCGCUCCAUCUUAUAUUUUGGAAUGUCUUACACCUUACACUCCAAAUCGUAACCUUAGAUCUUCAAAUGAGUGUCUGCUUAGAAUUCCAAGAGCUAAACUUAAAAGAAGUGGUGAGGCGGCCUUCUGCUGUUAUGCACCUAAAAUCUGGAAUAGCUUACCAAUAGGAAUUCACCAGGCUAAUACAGUGGAGCACUUAAAAACACUGCUGAAAACAUUAACAUGGCUUUCUCAUAGCUUCAUCUUAGUUUAAUCCUGAUGCUGUGUAUAUAUUCGAUUAAUUAUCAUGAUUAUUCAUGGUGGCUCCAAAAUCCGUACUAACCCCUACUUUCUCUUCUGUUCUGUUCUUUUUCCGGGUUUCUGGGGUGGCGACCUGCGCCACCACCACCUGAUCAAAGCACUGUGAUGUCCCUAUAUUGAUGGAUUAAAGGCCAGAAGUCCAAAUGACCGUCAUCAUCAAGUUCUUCCAUGAGAACCCUGAAUACAUUGAGGACUGAUUGAGGUCUUGUGGCCUAGAACCCCUGCACAUUUUAUUUUAUUUCUGCAACCUUCUGGGGGUUUUUUUUGUUUGUUUUUUUCUGUCCUC